Molecule: ribosomal RNA, 253 nt
Filed under: uncultured bacterium
Lineage: Bacteria
Description: partial 16S ribosomal RNA
Rfam family: Bacterial small subunit ribosomal RNA
Source: RNAcentral
UACGUAGGGUGCAAGCGUUGUCCGGAAUUAUUGGGCGUAAAGAGCGUGUAGGCGGCUUGAUAAGUCUGCUGUGAAAGUCUAGGGCUCAACCCUGGAAAGCCGGUGGAUACUGUCGAGCUAGAGUCCGGAAGGGGCGAGUGGAAUUCCUGGUGUAGCGGUGAAAUGCGCAGAUAUCAGGAGGAACACCAAUGGCGAAGGCAGCUCGCUGGGACGGUACUGACGCUGAGACGCGAAAGCGUGGGGAGCAAACAGG